GGGGAAUUUUGGACAAUGGGCGCAAGCCUGAUCCAGCAAUGCCGCGUGAGUGAAGAAGGCCUUCGGGUUGUAAAGCUCUUUUGUCAGGGAAGAAACGGUGCGGGCUAAUAUCCCGCGCUAAUGACGGUACCCGCAGAAUAAGCCCCGGCUAACUUCGUGCCAGCAGCCGCGGUAAGACGAAGGGGGCUAGCGUUGUUCGGAAUUACUGGGCGUAAAGCGCGUGUAGGCGGUUGUCCAAGUCGGGUGUGAAAGCCUUGAGCUCAACUCAAGAAAUGCACUCGGUACUGGGUGACUAGAGGACCGGAGAGGAUAGUGGAAUUCCCAGUGUAGUGGUGAAAUACGUAGAGAUUGGGAAGAACACCAGUGGCGAAGGCGGCUAUCUGGACGGUUUCUGACGCUAAGACGCGAAAGCGUGGGGAGCAAA
This 424-nucleotide ribosomal RNA is filed under the name uncultured bacterium. Its description in RNAcentral is "bacterial SSU rRNA". It matches the Rfam family "Bacterial small subunit ribosomal RNA", at positions 356 to 772 of the family's 1533-position model. The record is from RNAcentral.